Molecule: non-coding RNA, 247 nt
Filed under: Lactobacillus kefiranofaciens
Lineage: Bacteria; Bacillati; Bacillota; Bacilli; Lactobacillales; Lactobacillaceae
Description: T-box sequence
Rfam family: T-box leader
About the family: Uncharged tRNA acts as the effector for transcription antitermination of genes in the T-box leader family. T-boxes are found upstream of many aminoacyl-tRNA synthetase genes and some amino acid biosynthetic genes usually in Gram-positive bacteria.
Source: RNAcentral
AUUUUAGCUUUGAUAAGGAAAGUAACAUAAAGUAAGAUUUUCAGAGAGUCUUCGGUUGGUGCAAGAAGAUAAUUAAGCUUUACGCGAAAAUCACCUUUGAGCAGAAAACACGAUAUUAGUGUUUUCAGGGUCCGCCCUUUACAGCGGCGACGUAUCGCUAAUCAGUCUUGAUUGGCCGCACGUGCAUGAGGUCAAUGAUUAAGUCAUUGACGAAGAAUAGGUGGUACCGCGUAUAGACGCCCUAUUA